RNAcentral lists this ribosomal RNA (494 nucleotides) under uncultured bacterium. Its description in RNAcentral is "partial 16S ribosomal RNA". It matches the Rfam family "Bacterial small subunit ribosomal RNA", at positions 28 to 507 of the family's 1533-position model. The record is from RNAcentral.
GACGAACGCUGGCGGCGUGCUUGACACAUGCAAGUCGAACGGAAAGGCCUGCUUUCCCUUGUGGAUUACGGGUACUCGAGUGGCGAACGGGUGAGUAACACGUGAGUGAUCUGCCCCCAACUUGGGUAUAAGCCUGGGAAACUGGGUCUAAUUCCCGAUAGGACUGCAGGGUGGUGCCUGUGGUGGAAAACGAUUUUCUAGUGGUUGGGGAUGAGCUCGCGGCCUAUCAGCUUGUUGGUGGGGUAAUGGCCUACCAAGGCGGCGACGGGUAGCCGGCCUGAGAGGGUGGACGGCCACAUUGGGACUGAGAUACGGCCCAGACUCCUACGGGAGGCAGCAGUGGGGAAUAGUGCACAAUGGGCGGAAGCCUGAUGCAGCGACGCCGCGUGGGGGAUGACGGCCUUCGGGUUGUAAACUCCUUUCGACCGCGAGGAAGCCACCUGGUUGGAAGGGUGGUGACGGUAGUGGUAGAAGAAGCACCGGCUAACUACGUG